GCGGAUGUAGCUCAAUGGCAGAGCGCCGCCUUGCCGAGGCGGUGACCCGGGUCCGAUUCCCGGUAUCCGCU
Molecule: transfer RNA, 71 nt
Filed under: Nocardiopsaceae bacterium
Lineage: Bacteria; Bacillati; Actinomycetota; Actinomycetes; Streptosporangiales; Nocardiopsidaceae
Description: tRNA-Gly
Rfam family: tRNA
About the family: Transfer RNA (tRNA) molecules are approximately 80 nucleotides in length. Their secondary structure includes four short double-helical elements and three loops (D, anti-codon, and T loops).
Source: RNAcentral